This is a long non-coding RNA of Pteropus alecto (black flying fox), 4364 nucleotides long. RefSeq lists it as uncharacterized. The record is from RefSeq and is a predicted model, not a curated record. NCBI's taxonomy places the organism in Eukaryota, Metazoa, Chordata, Mammalia, Chiroptera, Pteropodidae. The transcript is spliced from 2 exons.
UCUGCGGUCGGUCUGCACGGACGCGCGCCCCGUCGUCCAGCGCGUCGCUGUCCCCGCGCUGUGCGGCGCGAGCCUUUGAGGCCGGGCGCGCCCCCGUGCCCCGCAGACGCCCCGGCCACUCGGCCGUGCACGUCUGGGAGGGACGGCCCGGGUCCCGCCCUGUGAGAACGCGGCCCGCCGCAUCCCCACGCGGCGCCCUCCGUCCAGGGCGCUUCCCCCGGCCGCCUCUGUUGGACGGUUUCCUCCUCGCUGUCUGUCGCUGGUAGUAACAAGCACGCACGCUGUGCGAACGGACUGAGGUAUCUGCUGGGUGGCUUUCAUAAAUGUCAGCUGUUUCUUCAGAUGGCGCUUGCCCUGUUCCAACAUGACGGUUGGUGUCCCCUCUUUCGUGUUACGGACUUGCGAGCAGGGACUGCAUCUUCACAGUCUUUCACGUUAAGAUGCCUGACAUGAAAUACAUUUUUGCGUGCUUAAUACAUGCGCCAAUUGAUUUCUCCUUAAAUACGGCCCUUAUUGUAUAGGGUUUUUCUUAAGUCGUCUCAGUGAAAUGGCUUCACUGAGCAAGAUAAAGCUUUGGGACUUACAAGGAGGCAUCCACUGCUGCGAUGUCUUGGGUAUGAGUAAAUGGACUGACGAGUCCUCGGUUGGGAUACAGCCAGCCUGGGGGCGGCACCGGUCCCAGGCUGUGACUGCAGUGCAGGUCCAGGAACACUGCUCGUUUGCGUGUCUAGAAGCCCACUUGGACACUUUCUUUGGCUUUUUCCCAUCUGGUGCACAGUCUUCAGUUUUCAGUUGCUUGGGUUAGUAGCACAUACAAUCUUUCUCUUUCGCGUUAAGAUGCCGUACAGGAAAUGCAUUUGGGUGCUUACUACACAUGUGAGUGGAUCAGUCCUGUCGUCUGCCACGGCAGACUCUCGGUGUUCCUCCUCUCUGCUUGAUAUCCCUUUUCAGUCUCCUUUGUAAGUUUCUCUUACUCUAAAAAAAAAAAAAAAAAAAAAAGAUUCUCUGGCUCACGUCUCCAAUUUCCACCGAUAUUCCGAUGACUCGUCUAUUUUUUUGUCAAGACAGAUCUCCUGACCUCCAGGUCCUAUAUGUCCACUGCCUACUGGACAUUUCCAUGUGUGCAGGCAUCUCAAACAAUCUGUUAAAUACUGAACUGUGUCUAAUCCCCAAACCUCAAGUGAAACCUGGGGGCCAAACUCGAGUCCUUGCUGCGGUGUCAUCCCAUGUCCAAUCAAACAUGAGUCCUGCAGGCUUUCUUCUCGGACGUCUCAGAAUGCCCAGCUCUUCUCCAUCUCCAAUGCUCUGUUGCCACCAGCCUCAUCCCAGUUACUAAUUCCCGUCUGGGUCCUUUCAAUAGCCCCCUAACUGAUGGCCUUCCUCCAUCCUGCCUCCUGUCUUUGCCCACUCAAUUCACCCUCCACGGAGUAGCCAGGCUGAUCUAAGACGCACCCUCUUGGUGGCUCACCAGCUUUGUGUAAAACCAAGCUCCUCGCUGGGCUGCGAGCGCCGCCAGAGCCAGGCUCCACGCCCCUCUCAGCCUCAUUGCUUCCUCAUCUUAAAUGUCUUCCAAGGGUUUUAGAAGUGGUCGCCCUGCAUCUCUUUACCCGGCUGAACUACGACUCAGCCUUCGAGCUUCAGUGCCAGUGGUCUUUGCUGCCCGGCCUUCACACCCUUCUAUCUUCCCCUCUCGAUGAAUCAUAGCCGUGCCGUGUGACCGACAGAACACCGUGGAGGUGACAUUGUGGGAUGGAUGGGGCCAGGUCACACGAGUCAUCCCAGCUUCAGCCUUAGCCUCUCUUGGAUUGCUCACGGCGGGGGAUGUCAGCCACCAUAUUGUGAGGGUACUCAAACAGGCUGUGGGGAAGGCCACAUGGCAGUCACCUUGCCAGCCAUGUGAGAGACCCUCGUGGGCGACAUCUGCCAAAUGCAGGGCAGCCUUCAGGGACUAUAACCUGAGAUACUGAGCCAGAACUGACACGGAAACAGUGAGGGUAAUACAUGUAACUGUGGUUUUAAGCCACUAAAAUUUGGGGUAACGUUAUACAGUGACAGGCCGUCAAUGCAAUGUAUGGAAGUGUCAUAAUUUUUUAAACUAUUCCUCUCUAAUUGGAUACUUAGGUUGUUUCUAGUUUUAUCCUAUUACAAGCAAUGUGGUAGAGAAUAUCUUUAUAUUUAUGUGAUUCUUUAGAAUCUAUUUCUAGAAAUAAAAUUGCUAGAACUCGUAAAUUAUGACAAUCAUUGGCAAACUACGUUCCCAAAGGUUAAAAAUUCUCAUUACUUUGCACUUCCCCCAAUGGGCAUCACAGAGCUUAUUUCUCCUCGUCCUUGCCAACAGCGGAUCAUUUCAGUCUUUGCCAGUCUUUGGCGACAAAUGACAUAACAUUUUAAAUGUAUUAGUGAGGUGCAGACAGUUAUGUCAGGGGUUUACUGGAUGUUCGUCUUUCUUUUUCUAUGAUUUCUUUCAGUGUUCUUUGGCCAACUUGACUUAAUCUUGAUGUGAAGAACUUCCUUACAGACCGUGGACGGUAACUUUUCGUCACGUGCCCUGCAUACACGUCCUCAUUAUUGUGUGCCUCACAUGGUGUCUUUCGCUCUGCAGUGUUUCCCGUCUUCACACUGUCACAUCUGUCAUCUUUCCUUUAUAGCUCCUGGGUUUUCUGACCACGCUCCCUACCCCGACAUUGCAAAAAAAUUUUAAAUCCUUCUCGUUUUAAAAAUGUUGCAUCUUUUCAUUCUGGGGUGAGACAGAUCUAACGUAAUUUUUUUUUUUAGUUGCAUAAUCAAUGUUUCAUCAUCAUUCGUACCUGCUGAUUUGAAUCACCUGAUCACAUACGAAUUCCUGUGUGUACGACCUGUUUGUAAACUCUUAGGUUUAAGUGAUUUUUAAAAAGAACGAGUAUGCAACAGUCCCGCAUAUUUUAAAUUCCUGUUUCUUUAAUCGAAUGCUUUGAUAUUUGGGAGCGCCAUCGCCCCUUGCUUGCACUUCCUGUAGUCAGCGAUGGCUCGCCACCACCACGUCCGCAGAUCAGGAGUAGGGGAUGGAGUGCCCUUGAUUUUAGGGGCACGGCCCAGAGGUGUCACGGACCACUGCCCCUCCUAUCCCAUUAGCCAUCACUUGGUCACAUUGCCUCACCGGGCCGAGAGGGAGACUGGGAAACAGUCUGUCAUGCGCCAGCUACCCAUUCUGCCACCAGGAGAACGGAUGGUGGGGACAGCUGGCUGUGGCCGCCACAAGUCGCGUGACUAGUCCUUUCCUGUGUGGGUUAAAGUCGAGUGCGCAGUUUCGUGCACACUAUCAGCCUUGUUUCUCUGAUGAUCACAAACUCUUAGAGCGCAGCAAUGUAAGACUUUUCUGAAACAAGCCAGCGUGUGGGAACGGCUCAUGCCCGAGACGCAGCACCGCGUAGUCAUCAUCAUCAGCAAAGGCUGCGAAGCCGAUCCAAGACAUCUGAUCCGCUACAAAAUGCAAGUUGGAAGUUUCCCCCUGCUUUAUGUUCUGCUUUGAGCAUCCGUCCUCCAAACCAACCGGCUUGGUUCUCAGGCUCCUCUCCAGGGCUAUAACGACAAGCGUUGACGCCAUGCUCUGUAAGGGCAGCUCCCACCCUCCCAGCACACGUUCACUGUGACAGUGGCCACUGUGGACGCUCCUGGACGGCUGGGCCCUGUGUACACGUGGCUGCCCAUCUUCACGACCCCACAGGGUGUGUGUCACCACCUGCUUUACUGGUCCAGAAAAGGGUGACUUGCCUCACUGGCUGGGAACCAAGAGCCGUCCACAAGUGUGUCAGAGCUGGACGGGGUGUUUCAGAGACGUCACUGGGUCCACGUGGUUCUGCGAGGUGGUCAUUAUACCACCAACUCCACAGGUCACAAGAUGGGAAUAAUGGGACUUGUAAGAGGUUAGCAUGUGAAGCCCAAGACACCCAGCCCACCGGAGGUGGCAACGCUCACUGCACGUGCAGCUCUGGUGGGCAUGUCCCCACCGCCUCAGCUGGGACAGGCGGCCGCUUUCCCAGAGGCCGGUCCACACUUCGUUUUCCUACACAGUUGGUUUUCAACACGGUCACAUGACACACUGGAGCCUUGACAGCAUUUGCGCACCGAGUGGAGGGCCGCUCCUCCUGGGCAGGUUCUGAAGAAUCUCAUUUCCGAGUUUGUGACCCAUCUGUGAUGCCUCACAUGGCUCCAGGGCCACUGUCCCGCCCGCUGUGCUCCAGGCUUUGUGUGGAGAGGGGCUCAGAAAAUGCAGACGGCCUCGAAGCCACUGUUUCCCACAGUUUCAACAUUUCACUGUAACUACUUUUUGCAGAAUGUUAGCUGUAGAGAAUCAGAAAUAAAUACCGUGUAAGGUUUGAACUGCG